RNAcentral lists this ribosomal RNA (478 nucleotides) under uncultured bacterium. RNAcentral describes it as "partial 16S ribosomal RNA". It matches the Rfam family "Bacterial small subunit ribosomal RNA", at positions 28 to 523 of the family's 1533-position model. The record is from RNAcentral.
GACGAACGCUGGCGGCGUGCUUAACACAUGCAAGUCGAACGGUAAGGCCCUUCGGGGUACACGAGUGGCGAACGGGCGAGUAACACGUGGGUGAUCUGCCCUGCACUUCGGGAUAAGCCUGGGAAACUGGGUCUAAUACCGGAUAGGACUCCGGACUGCAUGGUCUGGGGUGGAAAGCUUUUGCGGUGUGGGAUGGGCCCGCGGCCUAUCAGCUUGUUGGUGGGGUGAUGGCCUACCAAGGCGACGACGGGUAGCCGGCCUGAGAGGGUGACCGGCCACACUGGGACUGAGAUACGGCCCAGACUCCUACGGGAGGCAGCAGCGGGGAAUAUUGCACAAUGGGCGCAAGCCUGAUGCAGCGACGCCGCGUGAGGGAUGACGGCCUUCGGGUUGUAAACCUCUUUCAGCAUCGACGAAGCGAAAGUGACGGUAGGUGCAGAAGAAGGACCGGCCAACUACGUGCCAGCCGCCGCAGUAA